UACGGGGGGGGCAAGCGUUGUUCGGAAUUACUGGGCGUAAAGGGCUCGUAGGCGGCCAACUAAGUCAGACGUGAAAUUCCUCGGCUUAACCGGGGAACUGCAUCUGAUACUGGAUGGCUUGAGUUCGGGAGAGGGAUGCGGAAUUCCAGGUGUAGCGGUGAAAUGCGUAGAGAUCGGGAGGAACAUCAGUGGCGAAGGCGGCCAUCUGGGACAACACUGACGCUGAGGCACGAAAGCGUGGGGAGCAAACAGG
RNAcentral lists this ribosomal RNA (253 nucleotides) under uncultured bacterium. RNAcentral's name for it is "partial 16S ribosomal RNA". It matches the Rfam family "Bacterial small subunit ribosomal RNA", at positions 524 to 776 of the family's 1533-position model. The record is from RNAcentral.